CAGUAGCCGCGGUAAUACGUAGGUGGCAAGCGUUGUCCGGAAUUAUUGGGCGUAAAGGGCUCGCAGGCGGUUUCCUAAGUCUGAUGUGAAAGCCCCCGGCUCAACCGGGGAGGGUCAUUGGAAACUGGGAAACUUGAGUGCAGAAGAGGAGAGUGGAAUUCCACGUGUAGCGGUGAAAUGCGUAGAGAUGUGGAGGAACACCAGUGGCGAAGGCGACUCUCUGGUCUGUAACUGACGCUGAGGAGCGAAAGCGUGGGGAGCGAACAGGAUUAGAUACCCCUGUAGUCCCUGUCUCUUAUAC
Molecule: ribosomal RNA, 301 nt
Filed under: uncultured bacterium
Lineage: Bacteria
Description: partial 16S ribosomal RNA
Rfam family: Bacterial small subunit ribosomal RNA
Source: RNAcentral